UAGAUCACUUGCACACUGACCAUGAGCCUGUCUUCUUCUAUACCUGUGCACCAAUCUUCAAGAGCAAACAUUAUCCACAAUUUGGUUUCCCCCUAAAAUAUGGAAAGCUGGAGCUACAGAACUUCUGCUGCAAGAUAGAAACUUUUAGAAUCAUUUGAUAAGGCAGACGUGUUCAUGCUCUGCAGAAACUUCUCUAGGGAAGAACUCUUUCAUCCCCGUGCCACAUCUCUUCCCCCAUCAGCAUCCAUCUUCUGGUUAAGCCGAUGCGGUGACACACGGACAAAAAGAUGACACUGAUUGGAACUGGCAUGUGGGCUGUAGGCUGCUUGAGUGACAGGCCUUUGCAGAUUUUCAUAGCAUCAAUCACGCAUCAAGAGUCCUUCCCAUCCCGCAGCUUUAAGGAGAGAUUUCAAGAAUGGCAUCCGUGGCAGUCUACCCUGGGCAGAAGGCAAAUAAUACUGGCUCC
Molecule: long non-coding RNA, 466 nt
Organism: Peromyscus leucopus (white-footed mouse)
Lineage: Eukaryota; Metazoa; Chordata; Mammalia; Rodentia; Cricetidae
Exons: 3
Source: RefSeq, a predicted model, not a curated record